GUCUUUUAAUUGAAGUCUGGAAUGAAUGGUUAGAUGAAAAAUUUACUUUCUUUAUUUUAUAUUAAAAAUUUGAUUUUUAAAUUAAAAAGUUUAAAUUAUAAUAGAGGACGAGAAGACCCUAUAGAACUUUAUUCCCUUUAUAAUAUUUAUUUACUUGUAAAUAAAUUUUUUUAUUUAUUAUAAAGGGAAUUAUGUUGGGGUGAUAAAAAAAAUUUCAUAACUUUUUUUAAUUAUAUCAUAUAUAUAUGAUUUUUUGAUCCUUUAAUAAGGAAAAAAGAUUAAGUUACCUUAGGGAUAACAGCGUUAUUAUUUUAGAGAGUUCAUAUUGAUAAAAUAGUUUGCGACCUCGAUGUUGGAUUAAAAUAAGUUUCAGGAGAAGAAAAUUGAUUGACUAGGUCUGUUCGACCUUUAAAUUUUUACA
This 421-nucleotide ribosomal RNA is filed under the name Decomia sp. 013SNU-020. RNAcentral's name for it is "partial large subunit ribosomal RNA". The stretch from base 294 to 421 matches the Rfam family "Bacterial large subunit ribosomal RNA", at positions 2473 to 2600 of the family's 2925-position model. Lineage: Eukaryota; Metazoa; Arthropoda; Insecta; Hemiptera; Miridae. The record is from RNAcentral.